Molecule: long non-coding RNA, 6739 nt
Organism: Haemorhous mexicanus (house finch)
Lineage: Eukaryota; Metazoa; Chordata; Aves; Passeriformes; Fringillidae
Exons: 4
Source: RefSeq, a predicted model, not a curated record
UGUAGGAGCCUUGUGCCUCAGUGUUUUGCAGUAAAGGUCAGGAGUCUAUUCAAGAGACUUCCAAAGUCUUAUUGUUAAAAUAUCUCUUUGCUAUGUCACUGUUUUCCCUUUCCUCUCCUCAUUCAAAAUAACACAUUGUCAUUAGUGACUUAUAAGGCUCUCCCUCUAAGCAUAGCAUAUCCAGCUUUCCUUCAUUUUUUCCCCCAAGCUUCCUUCCUAUUUAAACAAAGAAUUGUUUUAGUCAUUUGGGACUGAAAUAUUCCUAGCCUUGCUAUCAUGAAAAAAAUAUAUCACUCUCUUUUAUGGAGUGAUUUAUAAGCACUGCAGUUUUAUUGCUGUUGUGAGCUGCAGCAUCAUGAUUUGUUAAAAUAGAAAAAUUAUGUUCUAAAAUGGCCAUUGUUGCAAUGUUCACUCUAACCUUUCUAUGACUAAUGUGGCCAAAACUUUAAGCUUUUAAUACAUUUGUCACUUUAUGAACCCUUGUAAGUAAUACUUCAGCUAGAAGGAAGGGAGGAAGGCAUGCUAUUGUAAUUCAGUAAUGUAGUGUACAACUAAUUCUUGUACCCCUAAGUGCAUAUUGUCAUUGUCAUUAUAAAUCUUGAUUUCAGACAACUUUAACUUGGCAUUUAAUUUUUUACUCAAUGACUUUUAAAGUAAAAAGGGGCAUUUUCAGAAGGGCAUUUUCAGUUAUUUGGACUCUCAUUUAUUACUUAGACAGCCUUUACACUGAGCCUGGUGUUGUGUCUCUGACCAAGUCAUGUCCUAUCUUAAAGUCACUGUCCUUCAUCUGAGCAUGCUUAGCAUGCUGAACCCAAAACUUGUCCACUACAUGCCAGAAAUUAUUCAGUUCAUUGCUGAUCUACUUGGUUUUUUUCAGAUUUGUCUGUCUUUAUACAUUGAAAUGGUUAAUUCUUUUUACAGUUUAUUCUACUACAUUAAAAAAAAAAAAUCUUCUUGAGAGCGCAUUUAUUCACCUAUAAGUGUGUUACCUCUUAGUCUCCAUUUUGGUGACUUGAGCAGAGCGAGCUCUGUAGGUGUCUUAGUGGGGCUGAGAAAUAAUUUCUGUGCCUUUUAAAGCACUCUCAUGAAAUUACUAAAUGGUUUCUGAAGGAAAUGCAACUUACAUCAUCACAGUGUCUGUCUAACACCUUCCCACUCUUUUCCUCAUACCUUACUGAAUCCUUGGCCGCUUUAAGUCCAAACUGUCAGAGGGGUGACAGUCUCAGAGUCAUUCCAGUCUGUGCAUUUAGAGUUGUAUGAAAAUAGUUGCUCUGUGAGGAGGUGAUACACAUCUGUGCUCCUGGGAAAGGAGAAGCAGCCAGAGCUCAGCCAGCUGCCCAGCCUGUGCCCAUGGGCUGCUGAGCCAGCACUGCCUAAGCAGGGCCAUAGUGAGAAGACAGCAGCAAACACAUUAGGGCAGAAAUUCCUACUGCAUGAGUAGAAGAGAAAGAAAGAAAUGAGGAAUGCAAUUUCAUAGGAAACCAACUUUCCUAAAUUGUUUCUUGAGCUGCAGAGCUAGUCCUGAACCUCAGACAUCACUGCUGGAUGCAGUGCUCCCCACUCAGAAGAGAUCUUCCUUUAAAGCAUAUGUAGGUGUUACAAAUUAAAAGAUGGCAUCUGUGUCAAUCAUUAUUUUCAUGUUUAGAUUAUAUUUUUUCUUUUGUGAUUUUUUACAUCUCUAUGCCUAUGAAUUUGGGCUUUGUUGAUACUAGCAAACAUGUUAUGAUUAUUUGGCCAGAAAUUCUGCAUCAUACAACACUCCACAGUGCUUUGAAUAGAAGCCACUCAGGGUGAGACUUUCAAGACCUUUCUCUGUCUUGCUAUAUAUCUGCCAUAACAACAGAGUAAGAUACUCCAACCAGCUUUGACAGUCAGACACCUCUGGUAACUAAUGUAUUUUGUGGUGACUUUUACUGUCCCUGCCAUGUUAUGAAUUAUUGUCCUGCCUGUUACCUUAAGCAAUUAAUAACACAAAUUCUGAUACUCCCUGCCCCAUCAUAGUGAUGAUCCACCAAUUUAAUCUGUAAAUGUAUGGACUCAGGAGAUAGCCUGUCAUCUCUUGGAGGAAGCAGUUACUGGUCAAUGUGUGUCAGCUGGAAGAUGAAGGGCUCUGUGCUCCUUGAAAGAGUUCCUCAGCUGUGGGAAAUUUGCAUCAUUCCAUCUCCUGAGGGUAUUGCAGUGUGUCUGAACUGGCCACAACACAUGUAACUGUUUCAGGGAGAGCUGCUUGCAGUGGCAUAAAGGAGGGCCAGGAAGAGAAUAAACCCCCUUUCCAUUUCUCCAAGUUCUUCUGAAAUGCUUGUUUUGGCAGUUGUUGAGAAGACAGAAGAAAAAGGCCCAGCUUUGAUGAAUGAAGAGUCCUUAGGAUCAGAAGUGCCUCCUGAAAUGGAAGGGCUUAACCAUGGCACCUGCGCAUGAAGACACAAAUUGAAAUCACUGAUACAGUGUUUGCUUCACAUCACCACAGUUCCACCACCUGCUAAAUUGCUUCACUCCAGUCCCAUGUCAGGUCACGUUCCAGUGAUCACAACAUUCAUGACCUACCUGUGAGCUUAGACAAGCGGAGGAAAUUCACACUCCUCCUCCUCUGCCUUGCUCUCCUUUGCGUGACAAGAUGAAAUGUGUGCUACUGGCCUGGAAUAAAAGAGAAAGCCUCUUGCAACUUCCAUGACAUGAUGAGGAUGGCAUGGUGCAGGGAAACAACUUUCAGAGUUGGUCAGAAGUUCUAGGAGCCUUAAAAAACAUUGCUCAGCUUAUGCUUAAAACAUCUACCACACUGAAAAACAGUCAUGAUGACACCCAAACACAUCCAUUACCAUGCCAAAUCUAUCUCUGAUUAAACUUCUUGGAAUUCUACUUGGCAACAAUAAAGAACGGCAUUUGAGAAAGGUCAGAAGAAACAUUUUCAAGUUCAGUCGUCUGGAAUAGACACAUAUUUAGAUUGCUCAGUCAUAGCGUGUUGAUCACUACUGUGACUUCAGAGCUCUGCUUUUCUGGCAAGGAGGAUGACUGUAUGUAGGAGGCUCAAACCUGUCUUCCCUUUGCCCUGCUCUUACGGUAUGGCCACGAAGCCAAAUUCCUUCACAGCUGGGUUGGUGCAUCCUUUGGGCUGAUCCAGCAGUGAUCUGCUGCCAAUGGCUCCCCCUGGACCCCCUGACUGUGUGAAGGAUGGGGCUUUGCUGGGGUGACAGCUGGGUGCAGAACAGCUCGGUGAUGUUGGCAGUGGCUGGCCCUCCUCGCUCCGCUGGGACCGAGUUAGCCAGCACGUCCUGUGCCAGGGCCGUGGCCGUGGCUGCGCAGUGGCUCGCUGGACAGCCAGCUGCUUUAGAGCUCCACUUUUUCUGCCUGUGGCUGAAGAACCUCUGUAGACUAAAGGGCACUCUUCCUGUUCUUUAAAAGACAAAGAAAAUAAGAAACCAAACUCCACCUGUUUGUUCUUUAGAUGGCAUAAACUCAUUUUAUAUAAUUCAGUUCUAUCCAGCUUGUUGAAAUGCUGCCUCUGAUGUACAAAGAGUAAAUCCCACCUUCCUAGCAGAGGCCUGAGCACAUAAGGCUUCUGUAUGUCAGAAGCUGUUCUGUAGAAAGAGAAAUGCACUUGAGCUACUGCAGUUAUUACUUGGCUACCACAGUAACUGGUUGCAGACAAAUCUGUGGAAAUUUCACUGUUUUGUAUUUGGUCUUUUUAGUGUUAAUACUGCAGCACUGGAGACAGAGAACGGAGAAUGGAGCAGCUGAGCUGCAGGACUACAACCUGAGAUAAUUCACAGUGUUUUGAGUCCCUUUCUCAUCACUAAUAGAAUUCUUGCUAAACUCAAUUACUCCCACCCAAAGCUGAAUUAACUUCCCUCUGUCACAGUACAUUUUUUGCUCUAUCUCUGUACAAACUAAAUUAUUUUACCAAGUAAAAUACUUCCCUGCCUCCAGAGCUUCCCUAUUGACCAUAGCUAGGUACUCAACAUUUUCAAAUACAAUGCCUCUGGGUUUUGAAUUAGAUAUCUGUUGUCAUUGGCCAUCUAGGUAUUAAAUGCCAAAGGGUGUGUCUGUCCUUUAAAAAAGUUUAAACUUCUCUGUGAAAUAAAGGGAACAAAGGCUGUCAUAUGCUGUGGGUGCAUAUUGGGUCUGUCUCCUGAUCUUCCACCAAGUAGAAAACUGCCUCAUUGAUGUGGACAGUUUUAUGUGAAGAGCAUUCUGUAGAAAUUUGAGUCCAAGUUAAAACACUGACUUUAAUCAGUGAAGGAGAGAUACUGGGUAGCAAAGAGGUAGGAUCUUCUUAGAUAAGUCUCCAUGUUUGAACUGUAGGACAGGGCUCAAAAAAACCAAAACAUUGUGCCACUUUGUACACAUGGCUGCUUUGCACAUGCAGAUCUAUUUGUCCACCAGAGCUAUUGUGACAGCAAAUCCACAGUUAUAUAAUUCUUGGCAGGAAAGCUUAAUGUAUGCAAGGGAGCAGCAUGGAGAAGCAAUCUUGCUCCUUGCAACAUACUUGAACUGGCAAGUUCUGAUGCACAUAAUUCUCCUCACCUGCACAGAGCAAAGAACAAAUGGAAAUUAUACCUUACUGGAUCAAAUGUUAUCUUCUUACUCCUUUACAUCUUCUUUGUUGGUAAUAAACGAAGGGAACGUGUCCUUUAAAAUGACCAAAUGUACUCAUAUUGAAGAGUAAUCAAAGUCAUUGUUUAGGCUUUGGUUACCCUUUGCUGGAAGCUAUAGAUGACUUUGUGGGACAUAUCUGAGAGCAAGGAGACUGUCUUAUGUUUAUAAUCACCGAGGAGUGGUUAGCUCAGACAGUUUAAAGUAAUCUCAGAGCUCUAUUUUUUAACAAAGUAUUUCAAUAUGAAAGCAAAGAUGAAAAAUAUGUCUCCUCCCCUUAUAAUAUCUAUCUCAUUAAGACAUUUUCUCCUGUUUAGUGCAGGUAGGGUUUAACCUUGUGAUAUUUUCUGUAAGAGACUUGGGAGCUUUGGACUGGGGAAAUGGAAAACUACUCAUGAUUAUUCUCUUCUCUGAAAAUGUUUGUAUAUCAAGGCUUAAAAUGCUUAAUGGUAUUCUUUAAAAAAUCCUUUACAUUCACUCUUACGGAUAGGAAGCAGAAUAAAUGCAUUUUACCAGCAAUAGCACUAGAAUAAGGCAAACUAGGACACUGUAAGGCUAAGUAUAUAAUAUGAGAAAAUUAACUGUACAUAUAUUUGUUGCUGCACAAGUCCAGGAAUUCUGACAACUGGAACAUAGUCAGUGCAGCGAGAAAUCCCAAGGCAAGCCAGGAAUGUGUUGUCAGGCAGCGAUGACUUCAGCCCACAGCCCUUGCCAGCCUCCCUUGGUCAGCUCCACAGCUCCAGAUCACUGCUCUGCAAAGGGUCACCACUCCCUUCCCGUUAAAUCACUGCACAAAGGACCAAAUCUAAAGUGGUUGGCUGGGGUUUUUCCAUUUUGCAAGAAUGUGUUAUGACUACCAGACAUCUAAUAAGCAGUGAACUUGUUUAUAUGAACAAAAUUUUCAGCCUGUCAGAUGGAUUCCCUUCUUGCCCUGCUCAAGUGAAGUGGUACCACAAGUGAAAUGAUACUUCAAUUUUGCCUUUUUUCUUCAGAGCUUGUUAAAGUUAUGAGGGUUUGCAUUUUGACAGCCAGUUUAUCCCCACCACAGUGUGAUCUCUUUCGUCAUGCUUUUUAUCUACAUUCACUCUCACAGCUGUUUUACCAAGCUGCUUCUGAGGCUGUAUAGUAUCUAAAUUCCUUAGAAAAGAAUCUGUCAUGGUGGGGGUCAAGUGGAUGAGGAAGUUUGUGGCAAUCUAAAGGUUUUUUCUUGUUUGCUUGUUCAUUUCAUGAGUAGUAGAAAAUGUUCUUCAUUCAAUGACUGAUUUACUGUCAGCAAAGUAAGUUUAAAAUGUUAGAAAAUACUGUGUGGGAAGUGGACUUUAAUCUUUCCAAAAGUUACACUGGUCUUCAGUUUUCACAUAUUACUUCAAAUGUACCUAGAAAUCAUCAAUGGUUAAACAGAGCUGCUUCCAAUAAUAUUUUGAUGGCUUACAAAGGUCAAACUAAAGGUUAGUUUAACUAUUUUAACCUUCAAAAGACAGCGACAGCUGAAAUAACUCAGUAAUUUUACGUAGCAAUCAAUAUAAUGGCUGGGAAAGCAUGAGAAGGGAUAUAUAAUUUUGAGAACUCAAUGUAAAAUCCAUGUGGGAUGUUUUUUACCAAGAGAGAUGUAUUUUUACUUCAGGGUAGGUAUUGUGCUUUUCUGUAAUUUUGGAAAAAAAUCAGUAAACACAAAGUACUUCAAUUUUGCCAUGAGGCAAACUCAGAAAAAAUUGAUUCUGUCCUCAUUGGCAGUUACUGAUUCAUUUGUGAGUACACCUAGAGCUUCCUUCUGUUUUUAUGCUGGUAUAGCUCAGAGAAAUUAGUAUAAAUGCUUGUUGGCGUUCGUCUAGGUAACAAAUGUGGAAACUAAAUUAUUUCAUUUAUUUUGGUACUCAGUGGGAGCUAAAAUCACAGACACUCUGUUAGAAGGGUUUUUUAAAUUUUUCGUUUCUACCAAGCUGCAGCUUGUCAAAUAAAUGCUGUCAUAAUUUUGAGGUGAACGUGUUCAAGCCUGAAUUCUUGACAAAGGUAGGAAUUUCAAGUCUGUGCUUAAAAAAAGGAAGGGUAAAAAAAAGCAUCCUCAAAUGUAUUGUUGACUGAUAGAUGAUCUUACAGCUGCAGCUUGGUUUUGGAUUUGGAAACCUUGUGGUCCCUUGUGUUUCUUCUG